RNAcentral lists this ribosomal RNA (246 nucleotides) under uncultured bacterium. RNAcentral's name for it is "partial 16S ribosomal RNA". It matches the Rfam family "Bacterial small subunit ribosomal RNA", at positions 524 to 765 of the family's 1533-position model. The record is from RNAcentral.
UACGUAGGGUGCAAGCGUUAAUCGGAAUUACUGGGCGUAAAGCGUGCGCAGGCGGUGAUGUAAGACAGGUGUGAAAUCCCCCGGGCUUAACCUGGGAACUGCGCUUGUAACUGGCAAGCUAGAGUGUGGCAGAGGGGGGGUGGAAUUCCACGUGUAGCAGUGAAAUGCGUAGAGAUGUGGAGGAAUACCGAUGGCGAAGGCAGCCCCCCUGGGCCCAAUACUGACGCUCAUGCACGAAAGCGUGGG